AAACACUAAAAGCAAUGUCCAAUGUGACUGACAUUCUGAGGAAAAGAAUUGGCUGAAAAGUUUUUCACAUUUAUGAAUAGAAAAAUCACAAAAGGAACCAGCUGCUCCAGAAAGGCUAUGACCAUAUUAUGAUGCAAAAGCCAACAGAGAAAAGCCCACUGGAGGACCUCGGGCUGGCCUGGGAGGGGGGUGGAUCUGGCUCUGCUGUCUUCCUCGGCCAACUCAGAACUGAGCACUGAACGCGGGACUUGCAGGCAGAGAGGAGUAGCUGACACCAGAAAGUCAUGAGGGCUAAAGGAGUUCUUGAGCACAACGCACCAAAGAGUCUGGGACACAGCAGCUUUGGGUUCUCAUCCCCUCAGCCUCCUGCUUCUUAACACUGAUGUGAAGGACUGAGUUUUGCUGUUCAAGAAUUUCUGAUUCCUAAUAAGAAUGAAUCAUGUAAAUCAGACCCUGCGUGUGUGUUAGACUGUACACACGCUAAUGUCCUUGGGUACCUGUCACAGAAGAGUCUUGCCUGUGUUAGCCUAACUCCUUGAGAAGCUGCUAACUGAGAAAUCCUGCUGGGAGCUUAAGGAAGUCCUGCUGAAGUCCUUAGGUGGAGGUCUUAGACAUCAUCCUCGCAGGCUUCUGACAACGCUCCUGCAGAUAGGCGCCAUCUCCGCUGAGGCUUCUCUGCUGUCUCCAUGGUGUUUCAGGUGACAGCGGGUGUCUCCUGCAAUCACAGCAGCCUAUGUAGCUUUUUUCUUCAGCUAUGAUGUACAACUUUGGAGUACAUUAUGGCAAAAUAUACUCGGCCAUGCUUCACAGCAUCAGAACCGAUCAGUACCAGCAGCGAUAUCCACCCUGACCACAUCAGUGACCUCUUCGGAAGGAAGUGCUGAUUGUCUAGGGGGAGCUGGUAGCCUACGCGCCUGGUACAGACUCGGCCCAGGCUGCCUGCUGACACUCAAACGGCAGAGUGCAAGAAGGUGGGGUCUCUGCCCCCUUUCCUCCCAUGAGCACGCUCCGAGGAAGGAUAUUUUCUGCCUUUGAUUUCUAUUUUGGUGUAUCAGUGUUGUCAGUCUAAGGAGGAACUUUUAAAAUCCUAAGGGAAGGGCUGGGGAUUUAGCUCAGUGGUGCCUCCGCCUGCCUCACAAGGGCAAGGUCCUGAGUUCGAUCCCUGGUACCAAAAAAAAAACAACCCUAAGGGAAACGUGAGCAUUACUAGCUGCACACUCAUUUUGCAGUCUGUACAGACACGGUGGUUGUCUCUGGUUCUGGUUUCUGGCACUGUCUAUUGAGAACAUCCCGGAAUGCAACUGCCUAACUCUGAAACUUCCCAUUUACCUUUGACUCUGAAAAGAUUCACAAGGUGCCUUGAUGAUCCGCCUGACAGCCGGUCACAGAGGAGCCUAGGACUAACAGGCACAAAAAGGACGACUUGUCCAUUUGCACUUGCCCUGGGCUGUGUGAUGAUACGGAACAAGACGGACGACUGGACGUUUCAUAAGACAGCUGAGUCCCAG
Molecule: long non-coding RNA, 1508 nt
Filed under: Heterocephalus glaber (naked mole-rat)
Lineage: Eukaryota; Metazoa; Chordata; Mammalia; Rodentia; Bathyergidae
Description: lncRNA (ENSHGLG00100039342.1)
Source: RNAcentral